This 460-nucleotide ribosomal RNA is filed under the name uncultured bacterium. RNAcentral describes it as "partial 16S ribosomal RNA". It matches the Rfam family "Bacterial small subunit ribosomal RNA", at positions 338 to 795 of the family's 1533-position model. The record is from RNAcentral.
CCUACGGGGGGCUGCAGUGAGGAAUAUUGGUCAAUGGGCGCAAGCCUGAACCAGCCAAGUAGCGUGAAGGAUGACUGCCCUACGGGUUGUAAACUUCUUUUAUAAAGGAAUAAAGUGCGGCACGUGUGCCUUUUUGUAUGUACUUUAUGAAUAAGGAUCGGCUAACUCCGUGCCAGCAGCCGCGGUAAUACGGAGGAUCCGAGCGUUAUCCGGAUUUAUUGGGUUUAAAGGGAGCGUAGAUGGGUUGUUAAGUCAGUUGUGAAAGUUUGCGGCUCAACCCGAAAAUUGCAGUUGAUACUGGCAGCCUUGAGUACAGGUGAGGUAGGCGGAAUUCGUGGUGUAGCGGUGAAAUGCUUAGAUAUCACGAAGAACCCCGAUUGCGAAGGCAGCUUACUAAACUGCCACUGACAUUGAUGUUCGAAAGUGUGGGUAUCAAACAGGAUUAGAUACCCGAGUAGUC